AGUCGCACGGUGAGACGGGCUUCGGCCCGAGGAUCAGUGGCGAACGGGUGCGUAACACGUGGGCAACCUGCCCCUCACACUGGGAUAACCCCGGGAAACCGGAGCUAAUACCGGAUACUCCGACCGAACCACAUGGCUCGGCCGGGAAAGGUCCGCCGGUGAGGGAUGGGCCCGUGGCCUAUCAGCUUGUUGGUGGGGUAACGGCCCACCAAGGCGACGACGGGUAGCUGGUCUGAGAGGACGACCAGCCACACUGGGACUGAGAUACGGCCCAGACUCCUACGGGAGGCAGCAGUGGGGAAUCUUGCGCAAUGGGCGAAAGCCUGACGCAGCGACGCCGCGUGGGGGAUGAAGGCCCUCGGGUUGUAAACCCCUUUCGGCAGGGACGAAGCGAUCGUGACGGUACCUGCAGAAGAAGCCUCGGCUAACUACGUGCCAGCAGCCGCGGUAACACGUGGGAGGCGAGCGUUGUCCGGAUUCAUUGGGCGUAAAGAGCGCGCAGGCGGUUUGGCAAGUCGGAUGUGAAAUCCCGAGGCUCAACCUCGGGACUGCUUCCGAUACUGCCCGACUAGAGGUAGGUAGGGGAGAUCGG
This 592-nucleotide ribosomal RNA is filed under the name uncultured bacterium. RNAcentral's name for it is "bacterial SSU rRNA". It matches the Rfam family "Bacterial small subunit ribosomal RNA", at positions 60 to 664 of the family's 1533-position model. The record is from RNAcentral.